UGUACCUUAGUUGCUUCGGCGGGCACCCCCUUCAGGGCCACCCGGGGCUCACCACCCCGCUUCCGCGCCCACAGUGAUGCCCUCUAACUCUGACUGAUCUAGUGAAGUCUGAGUUGAUUGGGAUCUCUUGGUUAAAACUUUCAUCAAUAAAUCUCUUGAUUCCGGCAUCUAAUGUGAAUUGCACAAUUUGCUGAAUCUACUGUGAAUUGAACAAUUCCGUGAAUCCUCGGCUCUUUGAACGCCCUGUGUGCCCCAUGGUAUUUGCGGCGGCCUGCCUGUCCUAGCGUGUUUGCUGCCCAUCCCCCCCGGCUUGUGGGUUGGAUCGGCAUCCCCUCUCCCGGGGGGAGUGCCCCAACGUGUGGCGCUUUGUCCCCGUCUCAUCCUCGGCCGGACGGGGCUUUGUCACCCUCUCUGUACGUAUUUUUGGCGCUUGCCCUCGGAUCUCGUUCUUUUCCCCGUUGACCUCAGAUCUAGUAGGGAUACCAGGAAAACUUAAGCAUAUCAAUAAGCGGAGGAA
RNAcentral lists this ribosomal RNA (517 nucleotides) under Fusarium solani. RNAcentral describes it as "eukaryotic LSU rRNA". The stretch from base 136 to 289 matches the Rfam family "5.8S ribosomal RNA". Lineage: Eukaryota; Fungi; Ascomycota; Sordariomycetes; Hypocreales; Nectriaceae. The record is from RNAcentral.